Molecule: unclassified non-coding RNA, 963 nt
Filed under: Hevea brasiliensis (rubber tree)
Lineage: Eukaryota; Viridiplantae; Streptophyta; Magnoliopsida; Malpighiales; Euphorbiaceae
Source: RNAcentral
AAAAAAAAAAAAAGUGAGAUAUUCAACAUCCAUAGUAACGGGGAAACAAAGAGCAUCCUUGUCAAUCUCCUUUUUCUACUCAGGCAGAAUGAUGACUUGAAAUAAUACAUUGUAAUAAUUAUAUUCCAAUCUCUAUAUAAGCAUACAUGGAUUAUAAUUUUUGAUUCCGUAAUAGCAUAUCCUCAAAGCGUAAAUUUUACACAUCAAAAUAGAAAACCAUACAAAUAUUAGCUUCUCGAGCUUAAAAUCAAUUCCCACAAUCAGACUUGUCACUUUCAAACAUUAGAAUGUAAACAGUCCAAUCCCACAACCACGCACAUGACCAGCAAAUAGGGACUUUUUUAUUUGUUGCAGCAGAAAAUUUUCCCCAUGAAAACACAUAAAGGGAAAAAAAAUAAACUUAAUGAACAACAAUAAAGUUUGAAUCCUAAACAUGUCCCCUAACUACCAGAGAUCAUAAAAAUUAUAACUUUCGUUUACCCUCAGAAGAACAAAACAAACUGUGAAGAACACAUAAAACACAACCAAGAAAGAACCAUGAGGUCAAAAUUACCCAUACUCUUAGCUGCAUAUAUCACAUUAUCUAAACAAAUCUCAAUUACAGCAACCAUAAACUCAAUUUUCUCAAAAGAAAGUUAAGAAACAUUUAACUUUCACUACGCACGCAACAAAUAAAACAAUCUUGUAUGGUCCUAGAAGAAAACUAGCAGCUAAAAGGCACAAAAAAAAGGGUUACAAAUAUUUAUAUAUAUACAUUGAAGGGCAAAUAAACCCUAGCAUGCUUCACAGAUCGAAAAAGAACAGUAGAAAAAGAUCAAAAGUAAAAGAGAAAUGGGCAGUGAACUUACAGGAUGAGAUUGGAGAUGGAAGCGGUCAAAAAGAGCAGCCGCAGCUCAGAGAUCCGAACGAAGGACACAAGAAGAAGACGACUGGUUAUGGUUAACAUGAAUCAUAUUCUCCCCC